UCCGCUCCCGAUCGGGGUCGGCCUCCCCCUGCCUGGGAGGAGGGGGGGUGCGGGCUUCCAGCGGGUGUGGACACACGGGAAGGAAGUGGGCGACCCCCAACGCGGGGGAUGCGAAUCCUGGACCGAAGCAUAUGGACUCAUGGAAGCAGGCUGUUGAGCCCCUCUUGGGGACCAAGCGGCUUGCUAGGAACCCAGGAUAUAGAGGUGAGGUGAUCACAGCAAGGCUCUCUGAGACUUGGACAUUGAUCAUUAUGAAGCAUCCAGGGCAGCUGUCAUGCAGAAUGUCCCACAUUCUGGGUUUUUCCAGUUUCCUCAUGAUUCAGUAUAGGUUAGACAUUUCAGAAAAGACCACUACAUAGGGGAUGUUGUGGACUUCCCACUAUGUCACACUGGUAGGCCCGUAGUGCACAUUUGUCCUUUUAUUCGUGAUGCUGGGCUCGAUCACUUGGAUAAUUUGGAGUUCAUCAGAUCUUUACAAUUUAAGGGUAAGCUGUCAUGGGAUAUCCGAAGACCUUUGAUUAUUUGUUCCCAACAAAUAAAAUUA
Canis lupus familiaris (dog) is the source of this 544-nucleotide long non-coding RNA. RefSeq lists it as uncharacterized. Lineage: Eukaryota; Metazoa; Chordata; Mammalia; Carnivora; Canidae. The record is from RefSeq and is a predicted model, not a curated record. The transcript is spliced from 3 exons.